AUUGAACGCUGGCGGCAGGCCUAACACAUGCAAGUCGAGCGGUAGAGCGAAGCUUGCUUCUCUUGAGAGCGGCGGACGGGUGAGUAAUGCCUAGGAAUCUGCCUGGUAGUGGGGGAUAACGUUCGGAAACGGACGCUAAUACCGCAUACGUCCUACGGGAGAAAGCAGGGGACCUUCGGGCCUUGCGCUAUCAGAUGAGCCUAGGUCGGAUUAGCUAGUUGGUGGGGUAAUGGCUCACCAAGGCGACGAUCCGUAACUGGUCUGAGAGGAUGAUCAGUCACACUGGAACUGAGACACGGUCCAGACUCCUACGGGAGGCAGCAGUGGGGAAUAUUGGAUAAUGGGCGAAAGCCUGAUCCAGCCAUGCCGCGUGUGUGAAGAAGGUCUUCGGAUUGUAAAGCACUUUAAGUUGGGGGGAAGGGCAGUAAAUUAAUACUUUGCUGUUUUGACGGUACCGACAGAAUAAGCACCGGCUAACUCUGUG
RNAcentral lists this ribosomal RNA (484 nucleotides) under uncultured bacterium. RNAcentral's name for it is "partial 16S ribosomal RNA". It matches the Rfam family "Bacterial small subunit ribosomal RNA", at positions 30 to 507 of the family's 1533-position model. The record is from RNAcentral.